UGCGACUAGUGGCGUAGUGGCUAGCGCUGCCGUUUUGUAAACUUGCGACCCGGGUUCGAUUCCACGCGGGGGUAA
Non-coding RNA from Caenorhabditis brenneri, 75 nucleotides. NCBI's taxonomy places the organism in Eukaryota, Metazoa, Nematoda, Chromadorea, Rhabditida, Rhabditidae. The record is from the annotation of a GenBank genome assembly.